This is a long non-coding RNA of Aethalodelphis obliquidens (Pacific white-sided dolphin), 2998 nucleotides long. RefSeq lists it as uncharacterized. The transcript is spliced from 4 exons. The record is from RefSeq and is a predicted model, not a curated record. Lineage: Eukaryota; Metazoa; Chordata; Mammalia; Artiodactyla; Delphinidae.
ACCAGCCUGCAAAGAAGAGCAGAGUCCUCAUGGGGCACCAAGUAUUUGGAUGAAUCUUGACUGUUCAGCUCCGAGGGAGGACGAUAUGGGCAAAUUUCAGAGGCAGUAUCCUGCCCCAGGUUGGGUACCACGGAUGAUGCAAGAGGACGAAGCUGAAGUCUGAACUCUUAAGUACCUGCUCACAGUAAAACUGCUAAGUGGUAGAGAGAAUAUACGCCAGGCAGCCGGGGAUCAAAGAGGUGGUGCCCCCUAGCAGGUGCUUACAAGAUAACGAGGGACCGCAGGAAGGGUGGAAACCAGUCUGCUGACAGACAGACUGACUUAAAAGAAGAAACUGAGGCUGGGCCCUGGUCGAGCUGCUGAGUCAAGUAGUAAUAUGCACAGUUUAUGUAAAAACUGAUGACACUGUCUUGCUUUUAAAAACUUUGUCUCUAAUACAGGACAAAAAGACUUCAGGGUGGUUUUAUAAGGAACAAGUAAAGCACGACCUCCUUUCAGAUAAUCGCAAGCAAACAUUUAAAUCUUUGAUAUCUCUUUGUUGGGUAAGAUUUUUAAAAUUCAGGCUCAACUAGAAUUUCCAAAGUACAAAGGCAAUUGAAAGCUAAACAAUGUCUUAAGGAUGGAAGAGCUGUUCUCCAAGAGUAACCUAAAACGAUCCAUUUGCGUCUCCACGUGCCAUACCCAGACAUGUCAGAUUCAUCUUUGGCUUACCAGGACAUUUUCACAUGGCCCUAACUGCUCUCUGCAGUCCUUCAAGUCAGAUCUCCCAGCCAUGGACCGUCUCUGGCAUUUGAGUGGCCGGUUUUAGCGGCAGCCUCACCCUGCAGCCAGUUUCUAGAAGUCCAGGUGAAAUCUUUCACUCCUGUAGCAUGCUGCCUGGAUGCUAAUGGCAUCCCUUCGACAAGGCAGCCCCUCACAGGGGCUCCAGAGGACAGAGCAAGACAGUCCUUAUUGCCUCACUGAAAGGAGCCGCUUCUUGAAAUGGCUUCAAUUGAAUCAGUCCCACCCCCUCUGAGAUGCCAUUAAAACCACACGACAUUACCCAGGGCUUCCGAGAGCCAUGCCAAGGAGCUCCCUCCUAUCAUGAGGCAGAAAGCACUGCAUCUCUAAAGCAGGGAGGAGACUCACUCCACAUAAAAUGGAACUCUAAGAACAAGAAAACCCCGGGCCUAGACAUACCCAUUAUUAAAUUUAGAUAUCAAGUCCAAGGCUCACACACAGACAGCUGUUAUCUCCAGGGACGAGGUAAGGCAAUCAACACGAAUUCACAAUCCACACCACACCCAGCUUACUGAGAUUUCCCUUUGCCCAAAGUGCCACAGUCAGCAAUGCCGCUAAUGGGGACCUGGGGCAGAUCAACUUCUAAGGCGCUCCUGACCCCUCCCUUCCUUUAAACAACAUUCACCAAGUCCCUGCCUCUGCAGGAGUCCUGUGCCAGGCUGGGGCUGCCAAUUCAUGAGACCUAGUCUGGUCCAGAAUCCUGAAGUUAACCUUAAGUGGAUCAACUACCUGUUUCCUUGGAAAAAAGACCCACACCCCAUCACCUGCUCUCCUGUUUUACUGGAGGCUGGACCCAAAUGCCAUCCAAAUUCCAUUAUGGACGCAGGAAGCCAAGGACGCCACUUGCCACAGCGUUGCUCCGUGCCAGCUGCAGCUGUCUGGGCUUCAUUUUAAUGAAGGCAGACAAAGGGGGCUCUCGGCCUUGAACAUUCCUCUUGCAAGGCCCAGAGGGAAAAAUGACAUUAGUAAAACAUUCCUCCUUUGUCCUUUUACCAAGGGUGAGCUUCUGUAUUUUCCACCAAACACUGUCUCAUUAAUAAUGCAAUGACUUAAGAUCUUUAACAAGCAAACAGAUAUAACACAGUAUGGCUUAGAGGUACAUGCUAAGAAAAAAAAAGUUUAACUACAUCCUUGACAGCAAAUGUUGAAAAACAAGUGGAAUUUAGAUAGAACUUGCUCUAGCAGCACAAAACAAACAAACACACACCCCAGUGAAUAGAGACAUAGAGGAGCAGUAUUUCUCUACAUGCUGCUACCUUGCCUUGGAUAUAGAAAAGUAAAUUGUAUUAAUUGUAGGGCAAUUCCAAAAAAAUAUUUAUUGGGAACCUGCUACAUACAAAGUGAGAAAAGGACAAAACUGAAGCUGAGUGUGGGGAUUAGUAAUAAAACUGUGAAGAACUGAUUGGAGAGAAGAAUCGUUAGGAGGCUUUGAGGGUGGUUCAAAAGAUAAAGGAUGUCUGGGUUGCCCUGGGAAGGAGGUAGUGGGAUGGAAACAUGUGGGAAGAUGCAACAGCGUUUCAUACAGGAAGAACCAGUCCAGGAUGGAUCUGUUCAGAUCUAGAAGCAUCAGAAAUGACACCAAGUCUCCAGACUGGGUAACUUGAAAUGGUGUCAAGGGUACCAUUUACAGAAAUGUGUGUGUCAGGGAAAGCAGACUGUACUGAUGAUGACUGGUUCCAGACAGGCUGCAUUUCUGAAGGGGAAGUGAAGAGGAAAGGUUACGUGUGGGAGAAAAACUAAGAGCACACAGAUAACAGCUUGAGAACAUCUCAAAAAGGGGGUUAGCGUCAGAGAGCUGGGCAGCUAACAAAAUUAAAUGAUAUUAGAGGUAAAGAAAGCAGCGGAAGACUGGACUGCUGGGUGUGGUACCUAGGAAGCCACUGCUCAUCUUCUGAUGGAGCGCCCUCAACUGGGUGGCAGAGGAAGAUGCCAUACUGAAGACGGUCAAGGAGUAACUCAAUAUAGGGCGUCAGCUGCUCAAGCCAAAAACCCAAAGCAUCACCGAUUCCUCUCUUUCACUCACAGCCACCCCAACUCAUCCUGUCCUUCAGUUGGUCCUGUUGUCUCCACCUCCACAAUGUUAGGUUUCCAUCUCCUCGCACAGACCACAGUCCAUCCCAACAUCAAGACUCCCCUGGACUGGGACUUCCCUGGUGGCGCGGUGGUUGAGAAUCCACCUGCCAAUGCAAGGGACACGGGUUCAAGCCCUGGUCCAGGA